RNAcentral lists this ribosomal RNA (450 nucleotides) under Bacillus mycoides. Its description in RNAcentral is "bacterial SSU rRNA". It matches the Rfam family "Bacterial small subunit ribosomal RNA", at positions 346 to 787 of the family's 1533-position model. Lineage: Bacteria; Bacillati; Bacillota; Bacilli; Caryophanales; Bacillaceae. The record is from RNAcentral.
GGGCAGCAGUAGGGAAUCUUCCGCAAUGGACGAAAGUCUGACGGAGCAACGCCGCGUGAGUGAUGAAGGCUUUCGGGUCGUAAAACUCUGUUGUUAGGGAAGAACAAGUGCUAGUUGAAUAAGCUGGCACCUUGACGGUACCUAACCAGAAAGCCACGGCUAACUACGUGCCAGCAGCCGCGGUAAUACGUAGGUGGCAAGCGUUAUCCGGAAUUAUUGGGCGUAAAGCGCGCGCAGGUGGUUUCUUAAGUCUGAUGUGAAAGCCCACGGCUCAACCGUGGAGGGUCAUUGGAAACUGGGAGACUUGAGUGCAGAAGAGGAAAGUGGAAUUCCAUGUGUAGCGGUGAAAUGCGUAGAGAUAUGGAGGAACACCAGUGGCGAAGGCGACUUUCUGGUCUGUAACUGACACUGAGGCGCGAAAGCGUGGGGAGCAAACAGGAUUAGAUACCC